AUACCUUUCUCGGCCUUUUGGCUAAGAUCAAGUGUAGUAUGUGUUCUUAUCAGUUUAAUAUCUGAUAUGUGGGCUAUCUGUCCACAAGAUAUUAACUCUAUUUUUCAAGGGAGAAAGUCCGUAAAGAUAGCUUGCUAUCUGGGUUUUAAUGAGUCGCCUUUGCGUUGCACUAUUGCAUGGGCUGGUUUAACCCGC
Small nuclear RNA from Brassica oleracea var. oleracea, 195 nucleotides. It matches the Rfam family "U2 spliceosomal RNA". Rfam says of the family: U2 is a small nuclear RNA (snRNA) component of the spliceosome (involved in pre-mRNA splicing). Lineage: Eukaryota; Viridiplantae; Streptophyta; Magnoliopsida; Brassicales; Brassicaceae. The record is from Rfam.